This 460-nucleotide ribosomal RNA is filed under the name uncultured bacterium. RNAcentral describes it as "partial 16S ribosomal RNA". It matches the Rfam family "Bacterial small subunit ribosomal RNA", at positions 338 to 795 of the family's 1533-position model. The record is from RNAcentral.
CCUACGGGAGGCAGCAGUGAGGAAUAUUGGUCAAUGGGCGCGAGCCUGAACCAGCCAAGUAGCGUGAAGGAUGACUGCCCUACGGGUUGUAAACUUCUUUUAUAAAGGAGUAAAGUGAGCCACGUGUGCAGUUUUGUAUGUACCUUAUGAAUAAGGAUCGGCUAACUCCGUGCCAGCCGCCGCGGUAAUACGGAGGAUCCGAGCGUUAUCCGGCUUUAUUGGGUUUAAAGGGAGCGUAGGUGGGUUGUUAAGUCAGUUGUGAAAGUUUGCGGCUCAACCGUAAAAUUGCAAUUGAUACUGGCAGUCUUGAGUACAGUAGAGGUGGGCGGAAUUCGUGGUGUAGCGGUGAAAUGCUUAGAUAUCACGAAGAACGCCGAUUGCGAAGGCAGCUUACUGGACUGCAACUGACACUGAGGCUCGAAAGUGUGGGUAUCAAACAGGAUUAGAUACCCCAGUAGUC